Molecule: long non-coding RNA, 1328 nt
Filed under: Cavia porcellus (domestic guinea pig)
Lineage: Eukaryota; Metazoa; Chordata; Mammalia; Rodentia; Caviidae
Description: lncRNA (ENSCPOG00000035368.1)
Source: RNAcentral
UGCGCUUGGUGGCAGUGACAGUGUCCCAGGGCAGCAGAGUCAUGGAUCCCUGAAAAGUGGCCGGGCCUCAUUUCCUUCCCCAACCCCGAGAUUUCCUCAUCUGCCACACCACUUCCGGUGGGCGGGAUGUGUGGACUGGCAGGCAGGCCAGCAGGCUACGUGCCAUGGAGCCUUGGAGACUGAUGUGAAGCAGCAGGUCACCAUGCAGAAGGCGAACUUCAAAGACAAGUGCCGGGGGGAGCCGGGCAACAGCAAAGACACCGGUGAUCCUGAGUAUGAGAACAUCACCCUGACCUUCCGAGAGCGGGACCAGCCCAAGGGCAGUCAUCCAGGACCCAUGAAAUGCGCCCCUGCCCAGCCCAAGUCACCUUCGGGCAGUGCCCAGGUCCCUGCGUGGCUGCAGCGGUCCAUCAUGAGCCUGUACGUGCUCCUCGCCCUCAUGUUCCUCUUCUGCAUCAUCCUCUCCGCCUUGGUCUUGGUGAAGAACACUGAGAUGUCCAGGGAGAUGCUGCACUUGAGAAGGGAACUUUCCAAUGUCUCAAACUCGGCGUUGGAGUGCCAGGAAGAGCAAAGGAAUGGCUGGAGCAAGGUCCACAGUGACAUCGAGAAAGCCACCAACAGCAUCACCAAGGCCUUGAAUCCUAUCGAUACUAAGAACCAGCAAGUGCUCACAGAAAUAACAAAAAUCACACAGAAGAUACAGAAAAUCCACGAGGCACUGGAGAAGAAGACAAAUGCAGCACCUGCGUCUAAAUAAGAGCACACGGCAGUCACAGUUUGGAGGACAGGAUUCAUGACUGCUCAGGCGAUGGAGCAUGGAUGGGUUCCCCAGCCUAGUUGAACCUGCGCCUCGUUCUAUGGCUGGAAAACAAUGCAUCAGGGUGAAUGAGGGCUGUGGCGUUGUGCAUGUGUGUGCCUGUGUGUGUGAACAUGAAAGAGCACUUUAUGGAGAAUGUCCCUGCAUCCUAAGGAAUGGGUGUGAAUGUAUGUUGUGUCUGUGUCAUUACAUGUGACACACACGUAUAUGCCAUGACAUAUGUGAGCACAGGUAUUUCUCAGUGGGUGUCUGUGUAAGGACCCCACUAGUGUGUGUGUUGGUGCUAUGUGACACCCCUCUCCCUGUCAGCACACACAGCUAGGAGCACACUGUGCAGCUCACUCGGGUGUCGCCAUGUCUGCCCUGUCCCUCCCUGUGCCUGUGUGAAUGGGUGUGUCCGACUAUGUCAUCCUGUGUGUUCAGAUCACACACACACACAGGAGUGUGUAUACUUAUUCCUGAACUCACGCUUUGUGACUAAUAAAAAAAUAAAAAUGUAUGGAAAACAAUG